Long non-coding RNA from Ixodes scapularis (black-legged tick), 2492 nucleotides. RefSeq lists it as uncharacterized. Lineage: Eukaryota; Metazoa; Arthropoda; Arachnida; Ixodida; Ixodidae. The record is from RefSeq and is a predicted model, not a curated record. The transcript has 2 exons.
UUUAAGUGUAUUGAAGCUAAAGCAACUAAGUGUGCAGGAGAGUUGGUUUAAUACUAACAUGGUAACCCAGGGGCAGGAGAAAAACAAGACAGACAAACACAAAGCCGAAUGUAGGCUUGUUUGAUUUACCUGCUUCUGUGCAGAAAAGUGUAUUGCACUGUACUUCAGGUAUUUGCAUUGAGAUACCCGACCAGAAGUACACCGCCCUAGACUUUUCUGCACCGGUGCAGGUAAAUCAAACGAGCCUUGUAAGCAGUCAUCCAGCUAGCAUCGUAUCACACUGUGGCAGAAAUUUGUAGCAUAAUACCUCUAAUAAACAAAUAAAAAUAACUAAUUGGUUUUCUUUUUUUUUCUUUUUAGGAAGAUGGGGGGUUUGAGCAUAAAGAAGAUGCAGUCUUCAGAUGGUGUCUUGACUUCAAGUUGCAGCAAGCGGCGUCGAAUUUUAACAUACAUUUCCGCAGACCCAAGGGCUCAAGAACGCCGCAAACACAAUCCACAUUUGAACGACGCACUAAAAAAAGGCUUCUGUGGCUACCGGACAGAUUAUUUACAGACCCUGGAGUGUCGAGAAGGGGGUGUUUAAUGUCACUCCCAAAUGCGUUGAAAUGUUGGGCCCAGUUUGACUGCUAGCUUAUAUCAAAGGACGCACACGAUGGUCACCGACAGGAAGAGGAUGGCAGAGCAUAUCUUGACGCGCAUCGGCUGCACGUGCGCACUCGACGCUUGCGGAAGACAUUGAAGCGUCGUCGAAGGCCGGAACCUUGCAUUGGAGGCGGGACAGCUGAAGGACCCUCCUGCCUUUUUAGACCCAUUUGCGACUAUAGCUGUGGGAAGCAAAGCCACCUUGGUAAAUCCAAGGCAAAGCAUCGGCCUAUGGACCCUGAGGAACCGACCCCUCUUUGGUUUCGACGGUGAACGUGGCAGUGCGCAGGACGAGAGGCCACCCCUGCUCCUCGUGCAGCUACGUGGCCCGGUAUGCGAGCGUGCUCAAGGUGCACGAACGCUGCCACAACGGAGAGCGCCCGUACGAGUGCCCCCUGUGCCCCCAGUCGUUCGUGCACCGGGGCGACUUGAACCGCCACACCAUGUGGCACUCGGGCGAGCGGCCUUUCUACUGUCCUGAGUGCGGCCAGCGGUUCACGCGCACCCAUCACCUCAGGGUACACCGCCGCAAACACUUGCAUCCGGAAAUGGACUGAAAAAGAACGUUCAGGUGCCGGUUUACGGUGAAUCGUGCAUCCUCAUCACCGGGCUGCCAUGUUUGGUCGUCAUAUCUGAGUACUGCGGAGUGAACUGCGGCGGCUGGCAAUGCUCGUUUUCCACGUAGUCGUCGCCACCUUGAAUCGUGAAACUUCCGACAGGGGGGGGGGGGGGAAACAUUGUUUUGCCCGUGCCGGGCGACUGGAAGGUGUUCACGUUUUUAUCAAGGCUGUCGGUCGUCUUUUGUUUUUGCCUCUUCUAUAUUUUCCUAUUCUUUCCUGGUUGCAAUGACUCACUCUUUUUUGUCCCACCAUUCGGAGUACGCAAACUAUGUGGUUGAGGACGAGGUUAAACGGAAAAAAGUCUGACUUUCCCAGAAAUGUGCGGUUCCCCCCUCUCUUCCGUAACCUGUUUGAUGCAUUGCAAAAUUUCGAUGUUAUCAUGUAGGGCACACGAGAUUAUUCGUGAAUCGAAGACUGUGUUGAUGAUUUCUGAAUGUAAAGAAGGCAGAAAGAAAGCAAAGCAGAGAAUCUGAUGAUUUUCUUUUGUGUUCGCUCUAUUUUUUUGUACCUCCCGAGCCCCUGGUGAUAAGAAAUGGAGUCUUGCUUCUUCAAGGAUGUAUGAAACAUUCAAGUCGGCAUGAGCGUAUAUCAGAACAGUCCCACAAAUACCUUUGCCGCGAGAUCGCCUGGGAUUUUCCCGAUAGGUCGAUUAGCCACAGUAGUUUUGUUUGAAAUAUUUGUUUCUGGGAACUGAGUCACCUGUGUGCUCUGAGCUGAAUUUUUGCUCCGGUCCAUCGAUAAUUGGAUGCAUGUUUCUGUGGAUGCUUCUGGGUGUUUCGAAGUGGACUAUUUUUAGCCUCUGCGGCGGCGUGCUCCCAUCUGUAUCUUUCUAGACGUCUGAUGCUGCACUGAGUUGAGUGGUCUGGGACCUGUAGUUGUUUCUUUUGUGCAUUAUAGAGCGAAUGUAUACUAUUUUGGGCAAGUCAAACAAUGCCCUCAUCCGAGGUAAGGUGAUGUGAUUAUGCUAGCACCUUUUCCUUUCAUUUUAAAUUUCAUGUGGUGAUUAUUAUAGGGGAUUGUCACUAGCUAGCCCUUGUCGGCACAUUUUUAGUAAGUAUUGUAAUGUGCUUGUUUAACUGGGACCAACUGGAAUCGCAGCUAGACAUAUGUCAUAAAUGUUGUGCAUACCCUUUUCUAGCCGUUUCUAGGUCUACCAGUCCGUGUAAAGGAAGUUACUCACAUGUGCAGACAAGUUGAUUGCUUCGUUAAUAAAAUGCUGAGCUCACUUUA